This 1086-nucleotide long non-coding RNA is filed under the name Chrysemys picta bellii (western painted turtle). Its description in RNAcentral is "lncRNA (ENSCPBG00000005577.1)". The record is from RNAcentral. Lineage: Eukaryota; Metazoa; Chordata; Testudines; Emydidae.
AUGGAACUGGACACUGGUGCAGCCAUUUCGCUGGUCUCAGAGACUGUGUAUAAAGAAAAGCAACAGCAUCUUCCGCUUAAAGCAACAAAAACAGUGCUGAAGACAUAUACGGGAGAAGCUGUGCCCAUGUUGGGCACUACUGAUGUUAAGGUGGAGCUCAAUGGACAGACUGAUAAAUUGCCACUGUUUGUGGUGAGAGGUAAUUACCCAGCCUUAAUGGGUAGGUCUUGGCUUAGGAAGAUCCAGCUGAAUUGGGCAGAAGUGCACCGAGUGACUAAAGAAGAAACCGGUCUGACCACUAUACUAAGGAAACAUGCUGCUGUUUUUGGAGAGGAUCUGGGAAGUAUGAAGAGAAUCACUGUGACACUGAACAUUAAACCUGACAGUCAACCAAAAUAUCUGAAAGCCAGAACUGUGCCAUAUGCCAUCAGGCCGAAAGUUGAAGCGGACCUGGAGCGCCUGGUCACAAAUGGAGUCCUGAUACCAGUUACCCAUAGCCCAUGGGCAACUCCUAUCAUUCCAAUAGUGAAGAAAGAUGGCUCCCUCCAGAUUUGCGGUGAUUUUAAAGUCACUGUCAACCCGGUGUUAUAUGCAGAGCAAUACCCGCUUCCCCGCAUCAAUGACCUCUUCGCAGGCCUGGCUGGGGGACAAAAGUUCAGUAAGAUUGAUCUGAGUCAAGCGUAUUUACAGAUGCAUGUUGAUGAAAAGUCCCAAGAGCUGUUGACUAUUGUGAUGCAUAAGGGGCUUUAUCGAUACUGUCGCCUACCCUUCGGAAUAACAUCUGCUCCCGCCCUGUUCCAGAGGGCUAUGGACCAGAUUUUGUGUGGCUUGCCAGGAGUCCAGUGCUAUCUGGAUGACAUCCUGGUCACUGGAAGGAAUGAGGAGGAUCACCUAAAGAAUUUAGAGGCUACCCUACAAAGACUGGAAGAGUAUGGACUGCAAGUCCGCAAAGAGUCCAUGAAUUCUUCCAGCCCUCUGUUGAAUAUUUGGGACACAUCAUUGAUGCUACAGGUCUUUGUAAGGCCCCUGCCAAAGUUAAGGCUAUUGUGGAGGCUCCCCCUCCUCGAAAUGUUCGCUCAUUUCUAG